UACUCCUACGGGAGGCAGCAGUGGGGAAUUUUCCGCAAUGGGCGAAAGCCUGACGGAGCAAUACCGCGUGAGGGAUGACGGCCUAUGGGUUGUAAACCUCUUUUUUCAGGGAGGAAUCAAUGACGUGUACCUGAAGAAUAAGCAUCGGCUAACUCCGUGCCAGCAGCCGCGGUAAGACGGAGGGUGCAAGUGUUAUCCGGAAUCACUGGGCGUAAAGCGUCUGUAGGUGGUUUAAUAAGUCAACUGUUAAAUCUUGAGGCUCAACCUCAAAAUCGCAGUCGAAACUAUUAGACUAGAGUAUAGUAGGGGUAAAGGGAAUUUCCAGUGGAGCGGUGAAAUGCGUAGAUAUUGGAAGGAACACCGAUGGCGAAGGCACUUUACUGGGCUAUUACUAACACUCAGAGACGAAAGCUAGGGUAGCAAAUGGGAUUAGAUACCCCAGUAGUCUUAGCUGUAAACAAUGGAUACUAGAUGUUGAACAGAUCGACCUGUGCAGUAUCAAAGCUAACGCGUUAAGUAUCCCGCCUGGGAAGUAUGCUCGCAAGRGUGAAACUCAAAGGAAUUGACAAUCACGAAUUCUGG
Molecule: ribosomal RNA, 582 nt
Filed under: uncultured delta proteobacterium
Lineage: Bacteria; Deltaproteobacteria
Description: bacterial SSU rRNA
Rfam family: Bacterial small subunit ribosomal RNA
Source: RNAcentral